RNAcentral lists this ribosomal RNA (327 nucleotides) under uncultured eukaryote. RNAcentral describes it as "partial 18S ribosomal RNA". It matches the Rfam family "Eukaryotic small subunit ribosomal RNA", at positions 1470 to 1796 of the family's 1831-position model. The record is from RNAcentral.
CCCUUAGAUGUUCUGGGCCGCACGCGCGCUACACUGAUUCAUGCAACAAGUUUUGUCCUUGGCUGAUAGGCCUGGGUAAUCUUUGAACGUGAAUCGUGAUGGGGAUAGAUGAUUGCAAUUAUUCAUCUUCAACGAGGAAUUCCUAGUAAACGCAAGUCAUCAGCUUGCAUUGAUUACGUCCCUGCCCUUUGUACACACCGCCCGUCGCACCUACCGAUUGAAUGGUCCGGUGAAAUCUUCGGAUCUGAGAGAUGUCUGAUUAAUUUCGGACGCCUUUUGCAAAAGUUGUUUAAACCUUACCAUUUAGAGGAAGGUGAANUCGUAACA